This 331-nucleotide unclassified non-coding RNA is filed under the name soil metagenome. RNAcentral's name for it is "partial contains 5.8S ribosomal RNA, internal transcribed spacer 2, and large subunit ribosomal RNA". The stretch from base 1 to 120 matches the Rfam family "5.8S ribosomal RNA", at positions 35 to 154 of the family's 154-position model. The record is from RNAcentral.
GAUGAAGAACGCAGCGAAAUGCGACAAGUAAUGUGAAUUGCAGAAUUCAGUGAAUCAUCGAAUCUUUGAACGCACAUUGCGCCCUCUGGUAUUCCGGGGGGCAUGCCUGUUCGAGCGUCAUUAUAACCACUCAAGCUCUCGCUUGGUAUUGGGGUUCGCGGUUUCGCGGCCCCUAAAAUCAGUGGCGGUGCCUGUCGGCUCUACGCGUAGUAAUACUCCUCGCGAUUGAGUCCGGUAGGUCUACUUGCCAGCAACCCCUAAUUUUUUUUAAGGUUGACCUCGGAUCAGGUAGGGAUACCCGCUGAACUUAAGCAUAUCAAUAAGCGGAGGA